GACGAACGCUGGCGGCGUGCUUAACACAUGCAAGUCGAACGGAAAGGCCCUGCUUUUGUGGGGUGCUCGAGUGGCGAACGGGUGAGUAACACGUGAGUAACCUGCCCUUGACUUUGGGAUAACUUCAGGAAACUGGGGCUAAUACCGGAUAGGAGCUCCUGCUGCAUGGUGGGGGUUGGAAAGUUUCGGCGGUUGGGGAUGGACUCGCGGCUUAUCAGCUUGUUGGUGGGGUAGUGGCUUACCAAGGCUUUGACGGGUAGCCGGCCUGAGAGGGUGACCGGCCACAUUGGGACUGAGAUACGGCCCAGACUCCUACGGGAGGCAGCAGUGGGGAAUAUUGCACAAUGGGCGGAAGCCUGAUGCAGCAACGCCGCGUGCGGGACGACGGCCUUCGGGUUGUAAACCGCUUUCGCCUGUAACGAAGCGUGAGUGACGGUAAUGGGUAAAGAAGCACCGGCUAACUACGUG
Molecule: ribosomal RNA, 468 nt
Filed under: uncultured bacterium
Lineage: Bacteria
Description: partial 16S ribosomal RNA
Rfam family: Bacterial small subunit ribosomal RNA
Source: RNAcentral